CGCAGCCGCGGUAAUUCCAGCUCCAAUAGCGUAUAUUAAAGUUGUUGCAGUUAAGCUCGUAGUUGAAUUUCGGGAUCAAUAUGCUGGUCGUGCCAUUGGUACGUACUAGUAUUAUUGGUUUCUUCCUUCUGAUGAAUCAUGAUGUCAUUAAGUUGAUGUCAUGGGGAAUCAGGACUGUUACUUUGAAAAAAUUAGAGUGUUUAAAGCAGGCUCGCGCUUGAAUACAUUAGCAUGGAAUAAUGAAAUAGGACGUUUGAUUCUAUUUUGUUGGUUUCUAGGAUUGACGUAAUGAUUAAUAGGGAUAGUUGGGGGCAUUAGUAUUCAAUUGUCAGAGGUGAAAUUCUUGGAUUUAUUGAAGACUAACUACUGCGAAAGCAUUGCCAAGGAUGUUUUCAUUAAUCAAGAACGAAAGUUAGGGGAUCGAAGACGAUCAGAUACCGUCGUAGUCUUAACCAUAAACUAUGCCGACUAGGGAUCGGAUGAUGUUAAUUUUUAAUGUA
Molecule: ribosomal RNA, 500 nt
Filed under: uncultured Glomus
Lineage: Eukaryota; Fungi; Glomeromycota; Glomeromycetes; Glomerales; Glomeraceae
Description: SSU rRNA
Rfam family: Eukaryotic small subunit ribosomal RNA
Source: RNAcentral